UUCUUCAACCCUUACAGUUUCUCUUUACUCCCCAAGGCCAUAACAUUAACCUAGCCGCCAUGGUGAAGUAUUCAAGAGAGCCUGAUAAUCCCACCAAGUCUUGCAAGGCUAGAGGUGCUGACCUUAGAGUGCAUUUUAAGGUACCCAUUUUGAUAAAUUUUUAAUUUUCAAUGAUGAUAAAAUUAGUGUUUUGUUUUUAAUCUAUGAGCAUGUCCUUCAUUAACUUAAGGAAUAGUAUUAGUUAACCAUUGUUUUUGGGUGAAACUUUUCUGUCCUGUUAUUGAUUCUAGGUUUAGUAAUUGUUGUGACAUGAUGAGUUUUAGUUGAAUUAUAAUACUUAUUAAAGUAAGUGUUUGAUGUUAGAGAUGAUUGUUUGAACUUGUUUCAUGUUAAUUUGGAUGAUGCUUGGAAAAUUGAGUGAGUUAGAAAACCUGAU
Molecule: non-coding RNA, 436 nt
Organism: Lupinus albus (white lupine)
Lineage: Eukaryota; Viridiplantae; Streptophyta; Magnoliopsida; Fabales; Fabaceae
Source: the annotation of a GenBank genome assembly